AAAAAGACAAACCCUGGUUUCCGUGUCCAACGUUUGACCGUCCGUCUUAUUAAAAAAACUAUAAAAAAAUUAAAAAGAUAAGUCACACAUAAAGUAUUAAUCAUGUUUUAUCAUCUAACAACAAUGAGAAUACUAAUUAUAAAAAAAUUUCAUAUAAGACGGAUAGUCAAACAUUGACACGGAAACCUAGGGUUUGUCUUUUU
This is a microRNA precursor of Oryza sativa Japonica Group (Japanese rice), 203 nucleotides long. It matches the Rfam family "MIR812 microRNA precursor family". NCBI's taxonomy places the organism in Eukaryota, Viridiplantae, Streptophyta, Magnoliopsida, Poales, Poaceae. The record is from Rfam.